GAUGAAGAACGUAGCGAAAUGUGAUACUUGGUGUGAAUUGCAGAAUCCCGUGAACCAUCGAGUCUUUGAACGCAAGUUGCGCCCGAAGCCAUUAGGCCGAGGGCACGCCUGCCUGGGCGUCACACGUCGUUGCCCCCCCAUCUACUCCUUCGGGAUUGCGGGGGGCGGAUGAUGGCCUCCCGUGCGCCUCGCCGCGCGGUUGGCAUAAAUGCCAAGUCCUCGGCGACGCACGCCACGACAAUCGGUGGUUGCGAAACCUCGGUUGCCCGUCGUGUGCGGUCGUCGCGCAUCGAGGGCUCGAAAAAAUUGCCGGGUUCCGGCUCGGCUUUCAACGCGACCCCAGGUCAGGCGGGGUUACCCGCUGAAUUUAAGCAUAUCAAGCGGAGGA
Molecule: unclassified non-coding RNA, 388 nt
Filed under: soil metagenome
Description: partial contains 5.8S ribosomal RNA, internal transcribed spacer 2, and large subunit ribosomal RNA
Rfam family: 5.8S ribosomal RNA (bases 1-122)
Source: RNAcentral